UGCCAUUUUAUGUAAUGCUGCUGACGCUGCCGGCAGCACGUUGAAUCCCGGUGUGUACAGUAGUUCCUUCUGCUUUUGGCAGCAGCAGAACGCUCUUCACCCCCCUCCCUUUCCUUUAGAAAACUUCAAGGGGUGUUAACGGUAUUCAGGCGCAUGAGACAGACAGCUAUGAAUGACAGUAGCUAAGGAGUCUCAGCUACACGCAAAUGAAAAACUAAUUGAAAGGUGACUGAAAUGGUUAUUAAUUCUUGCCUUCUAAUCUCGUCUAUAAGAAAAAGGCAGUGUGACUUUUAUUAAUCUGCUUAUCAUCCACAUUAUGGAACAAAUAAACAAACAAACAAAAACAACCCCAAACAACAACAGCAGAACUUCAGUUUAGAAGUUCUUGUAAAUCAUAGGAUCAUGGAAUUGCUCAGGCUGGAAAAGACCUUAAAGAUCAUUGAAUCCAACCACAACCUAACCAUACUACCCUAACUCUAACGACCCUCCGCUAAAUCGUAUCCCUGAGCACCACAUCCAAACGGUUUUUAAACACAUCCAGGGAUGGUGACUCAACCACCUCCAUGGGGAGCCUAUUCCAGUGCUUAACCACCCUUUCUGUAAAGAAGUGUUUCCUGAUAUCCAACUUAAACCUCCCCUGGUGCAACUUGAGGCCAUUUCCCCUCGUCCUGUCACCAGUGAGAAGAGACCAACCCCGCUCUUGCAGGAUUGCAUUCACUGGCAUUGCAGCCUGACCUUAUUAAAGAUAGCACCAAAACCAAGAAAUACCCCCAAGCCCAACAAGAAUAACAAUGAAACCAACAAAACCAAAACCCACCUAAACAUUUGGGCACGUUGUGUUGGCAGCGUUAGAGCAUAUGAGCGCACAGCAAAAGGUUUUUGCAGAGUUGGUGCUGUAGAAGAAAAUGAAUAGUCCUAAACCUAUGCAAGCACCGUGGCGGUGGUAUGACUUGCUCUGCACUUAGGAGUGACAAAUUAUUUUUCCAAAAAUAAUUAUUGCUAUAUUGAUAGUCCAAGGACAGGUGAUAAAGGUUGGAUUUUUGGAGGCGCUUCUUCCAGGGGUGUCAAACACCUCUUCAAACCCAGCCAUGUUGGGCUCCUGUGGACAAAAGUGCUCCAACAGUAGGAGACUCUUUGAGGUUAAAUCCACAGUUACGUGUUCUCUUGAAACUAGUGAGUUCCUCACUGAUACAACAGCUUUUCAGAGUGCAGUAUGCUUCUGCACUGGCGUGAAGGCUGGCUCAAAAAGCAGUGACAAUGAGGAUUUAGUAACUACCUUGAUGGAUGAAGAUGAUGCUUUGCUCGUAGUGUUUGAGGCAUUGCUUUAACUCAUCGUGCAGGACAAGGACAGUCUGUGGUUCCUAGAGCCAUGCUUUGAGAAAGCUGGGGAGAAGAGCUGGCAGAAAACAAGACCUGAACGUGGGUCAGAUGCAGCUCUCUGCAGCUCUCACCUGAGCUGCUAACGAGUGGAGCCGGGAUAAUGGAAGGGUGCUUCGUAGAAGAUGAAAGCUCAUGCAGUAGCUCAUUUGCCUUGAUUGCGUUCUUAAUCACCUCAGGUUAGUUUAAAACUUUGAAAAGAUGAGAUGUGGGACAGGUGCCUCAUAUUCAAGUGGGAGCUCGGGAGUGGCUGGUGUCGUGUAGAGGAGGCAGUGUGAUAGGAAGAGGCAGUCAUGAGAAGAGCACGAUGGGCUGUUUCAGAAGCCGCUGUGCCGAUGGCUUCGUUUUCCCAGGUCUUCUCCAGGAACAGGGGUUCCUAUCCAUCAUGAAGCAUAAAUCACAGCAGCAGGUGUUGUAAACAAGAGAAUUCCAGGCAAGCAAUUGCACGUACGAUACAUAGGGUGAGCCAGUAAUAGGCUAAUAUGUCGGAUUGAGAGUUUGUCGAUACGUUUGUAGCACGUAUCACCUGUCUGGGAGUUUGUGCAACUCUUUGGGUACUUCUAGUGAAUGUGUGAUGUUGCUCAUUAAAAACGCUGGUAAUUCCACGAGCAUCGUCCGUAAAUGUAAGCUGUACGUAUGCAUACACACACACCGAUCCUUCAGAUGCCGUUUAUAGAUCUGCGUCGGGCCGAAUACGUUGAAGCAAUGCUUACGAUUCGGUAGUGGCCGCCAGAUGGCGCUGUGCUCUUACCGCCCACCCGGCGGGAAAGCAGCGCGGGCUGUGGGAACAGCAGAGCCGGGCCCGGCGGCACCGCCUGGGGCGGUCGGUGCAGAUAAGGGCUGUGCGUCGUUGUCAUCUUCUUCAGUUUUUCGUGGGGUGCUAAGAGAAACGUGACCUGGGAGCUGGGCAUCGAUUUAAAGAAAUCCAUCGUUCGGUCUAGCAAGCUGUAGCCAUGGAUCUGGGCCCAUGAUUUUUCUGUGGAUGGAAUUGCAGAAUUUGAGUUAGCGAUGGAGUUUGUCAUAGAAUCACAGAAUGGUUUGGGUUGAAAGGGACUUCAAAGCCCACCCAGCCCCACUGUGGGCAGGGCUGUCCCCCAGCAGCUCAGCUGCCCAGGGCCCCAUCCAACCUGGCCUUGAGCACCUCCAGGGAUGGGGCACCAUAUCUUCUCUGGGCAGCUGUGCCAGCGCCUCACCACCCUCUGAGUGGAGAAUUUCCUCCUGACAUCUAACCUAAAUCUCCCUUAUUUUACUUUAAAGCCAUCCCCCCUUGUCCUGUCACAAUCAGACGGUGUAAAAUGUUGACUCCCUCCUGCUAUAAACUCCCUUCAAGUACUGGAAGGCUGCAUUGACGUCUCCCCAGAGCCUUCUCUUCUCCAAGCGGAACGAGCCCAGCACCCUCCGCCUUUCUUUCUAGGAGAGGUGCUCCAGCAAUCUGAGCAUCUUUGUGGCCCUCCUCUGGACCUGCUCCAAGAGCUCUGCAUCCUUCUUGUUCUAUGGGCCACAAGCCUGGAUGCAGCGCUCCAGACAGGGCCUCACGAUGGCAGAGCAGAGGGCGACGGGAGACCAGAAGGUGCAAUUCCAAACAGCUUGAACUGUUAGCUUUUCCUUUAUUUGAAAGCAGUGCUACCUUGCGCAGCUUUAUUUUCCAACAGAAUGCCUUGGGAAGGGCUAUGUGGUUCCCAUGGGAAAGGGCUGUGGGAGCAGUGUCAGCUUAGAUAAUCAGUGUUCCCUUAGCUAGUGAGGAUACUUGUGGUUUGAUUCCUCGCAACCAUCCUUUUUUUUUCUGCCUGAGAAGAAAUCUUCUUUCUUUACCUCAACUCCUGUGUUCAGUUUUGGGCCCCAUCCCUGGGGAGCACCUGCUCAAGAGCUGUGUGGAUGUGGCACUGAGGGACACGAUUAGUGGGCAUGGUGGGGGUGAGCUGAUGGUUGGACUAGGUGGUCUUAGAAGGCUGUUCUAGCCUUAAUGAUUCCGUGAUUAUUUAUUGCUUGCAGCAAAUAGUAAUUUUCUUUUAAAUUAACAGUGAGUGCUGGAGAGAAGGAAAAAGCUCUUGGAAAAUAUUUCUCAGAGGGGAAAAAAUAUGGCAAAUGAAUCAAAUAAUAAAAUUCAGAGUGAGUGGUGCUGUGUUUUAGUACCUACCCUUCAUUUUUAUGCCAGGAGGGGUAAAUUAUGCCACGUGGAACACACUUAGGCUUGGAUUCGUCCGUGCCCACACCUUUAUGUCUCCAUACAAAAGAGGAAAAGGAAGGCCCCUACUCUUAGACUCUGGCUGCUGCCUUUGCAGUGCUUUGUAAUUGCGGGCACGCUUCCUGAUGUGCAGCCUCAUCAUGCAGCAAUCUGCUGUCGUGGUUCCAAAAAUCCUGAGUCAUUUCUCAGAUGCAAACCUUUUGAAGCUGCUGGUGGAAGUCCCAUUGGCUUCACCGCACCUCUUCUCUUUGUGCAAGUGAGGCUGUGAUGAGUGGUGCAGUGGUGAAGAAAGAUGCUUUUGUUAUCCCGUGCCUUGCUUUCCAUUCUUGGAUCGUUUGGGGCUUUUUUCUCCUUAAGAAAGUGUCCUCCCCUGGGCUGUAGCCCUUAGAGCAAGGCACGUUUCAACUGCUCACAGCUCCCUUCUAACAAAUGCUUUCUUUCUGUGGCAACCACACCCUUUGCACGGACACACCACUGCCCCAACCUCACGAGCCGUGGCUGUUGUUGCUUGUGGUGUGCUUCCAGCCUGCGGUGCAGCUCACUUCGCUCACAGAGCUGUGAGACCUGGGGCAUCCCAGCUGCCUUCACCAGGGCUGCUGCCAGCGUCACGUUUGCAACCAAAGGCAGUAAGAAAGGAGCUUCUCUCUGCGCACAGCCCUCAACAGAGGGAUGCUGCAUCCUGAGCUAUGUAUCAACCUUUAGAGGUGGAAAUCUAACAGACCACUGACGUGCACAGAAUGCAAAGGAAUCCUUCAUUUUUCAAUUAGGCUUUUUUUUUUUUUAAUUUUUUUUAUUUCAACCAAUAGUUCGACAAGUGCUAAAACUUCCCCGGCAGUUUAAUCUGGAACAUAGAGUUGAGAAGAAAAAUACCUUCUAUAGCUUUACAAAAAUAUAAAAGAUUUUUCUUUCUUUUGAAUCCUGCACAUGAAGCAAGCACACCCCAACUCAGCAAAACAGACACUACAUCUUAAACUGCGGACCUCUGCUCAGCAAAAUGACUUUCUACCCCAGGGCAGCAGGCACAGUGUGUAAACGGUACAGAAACAGAGAAGGAAGGCGUGCUGCAGCGUUCCGAUCCCUUCUGUCCCUUUUUAAAACCAGAACGUCUUAAAAGAGUUUGCCGAAGAGCUUCUUCAGAUUGGUCCUGCCGGUCGGUCCUUGAGUAGGACGUCAAUGUGGUGUGAAGGGGAAAGGAGCGUUCACCUCUCUUGGUGAUCAAUGAGCAUGCCACCAUCCACCGUUUCAUGUUAAAGCUUUGGGAUGGGACAAGUUCAGUGGCUUCAAGCUGUGCCAGAGAAGGUUCAGGCUGGACGUUAGGAAAUGCUACUUCUCUGAAAGGGUGGUCAGGCACUGGAAUGGGCUGCCCAGAGAGGUGGUGGAGUCACCGAGCCUGGAGGUGUUCAAAGAGCGUUUGGAUGUUGUGUUGAGGGACAUGGUUUAGCAGGAACCAUUGGUGACAGGUGAAUGGUUGGACUGGGUGAUCCUGUGGAUCUUUCCCAACCUUGGUGACUCUAUGAUUCUGUGAUUCUAAGUUGCUUGGUUUGCUGCUAAGGCACUUGCUGCUUAACUUCUUCAGCAGUCAGGGCUGCCAGCACAUGAGGUCAGGCCGAAGGAACAAAAUGAAUGGAAUAUAUUGUAUCACAAAUGCAUAUGCCGUGCGGUGGUUAAUUUAGUGCCUGAUGAAAUGGGAAGAUCAGGGGAGCUCAGCACCUAGUUCUGCGCCUGUAACCGAGCAGAACCCUCACAGAGCACAGGGACUGACAAAUAAACCACAUGCUCUUAAGGCUGACAUAACUUUGUCCAACUUGGCUUCUGUUGGCUAACAGCAAAAUAAAGGGAAAAUACAGACCCAAGGAGGAAAGACGGGGCAGCAGAUGCUAGGAACCUAAAUCACAGAAUUAUGUUUCAAGUCGAUGAUACAAAUAAACCAGAAGAGCCAUUGUGUACCAGAGCCAAAACAAACCUGAAUUGGAUUAUUUGCAGUGCAUUAUGAAGGUCUUUUUCUAGUGCUUCCUUUUCAACCAUCUCUAAAUGGUAGGAAAAAGAAAUGCAUUUCUUGUACAGUUUGCACAAUCUGUGUCAUGUUUGUGCGUAGUGUAGCCCCAUGUCUUGGCAAACCUAGAUCUUUGCAAGCCUGUGCUUCACAAACAAGGGUUUAACUGCUGUAGUGCACAUGUGAAUGCACUUCCUUGAGGUAAGAACAAGACACGUAGUUAUAGAAUCACAGAAUCCUGAGAGUUGGAAGGGACCUCUGAAGGCCAUUUAGUCCAACUCCCCUGCAAUGAUCAGGGACACCACAGCUACACUGGGUUGCGCAGGGCUGAUCCAGCCUCGCCUUGAAAGUCUCCAGGCAUCCACUGCAUCACUGGGCAACCUGUUCCAGUGCCUCACCACCCUCGCUGCAAAAUAUCUUUUCCUUGCAUCUAACCUAAAUCUACCUUCUUUGAGCUUGAAGUUCUCUUAAGACUGUUGUAAUACUCCUGAUGUUAAGCAAUUAAAGCAGUGAUCAGUUGUGGCCCAUUGCCCUGGUGACUACAGAACGUGGUGCUAUGUGGUGGCUCCUUGGCGCUGGGUUCAGGCCUGCAUUACUGGGACAGAUGGGUUUCAGCCAGGACUCGGCUGUGUGUGGCAUAUACCUAGGGAAGGAUCAGGGUUUAAAAGCUCCCAGAUAUUUGUGUUUUGCAGAGAUGAGACUACCUAACCUGGCAGUGGUUGGUGGUGAAAGAAGCUUGUCUCAUGUGGUCAAAGGAACGCCACACCAGGCACAUCUUAACAUGUAAGAGCUAACAGGAGCUCGCUGAUGCAGCUAAGUCUUAAACAGAAAUGAGAAGCUUAGCCACUAUUUGAAGAGAUGUGUCUGGGAUCUUGUAAUAGCUCAGUAACUCAUCUGGAGAUGUGCUGCUGAAUACCUGCUGACAAUAAAAGUGAGUUCUAGCUAGAGAAAACCGAGCUCCCUUCUGGUUCUUAGGGCUUGACUUGCCAUAGUGAGUUUGGCUUUCAGCUCCUCCUAUCAGGCUGAAGAAGAAUCUGGUAUCAGGUGUGUGGAGGAGCACUGCUCGGCCAUCCUGGGCUUUCAUUCUGACUCUUGAGCUUUCAUGGGCUUUCUGCAGUUUUUCAUGCCUGAGAACAAGUGUGAAAGAUGUGACUGAUUUGGCAGCAAGAGCCUGUGAUUGUGCCCCCUCGUGCUGCCUCAAAAACGGGUGAGUGGACUUUGUUCCCACUCUGUGGAAGUCCCUGCCAUAGGCUGAUGCCAGCUUGGAACAAACUGCAGAAGGCAUGCACUGUGAGGAGGCAGAGAGCCUGAGUAUGGCCAUCUGCUGCCCGGCUUUUUCCUGCUUGAUUGGCCAGGAAGGCCCAUGUUAUCACUGCUUCCAAAGCAUGCUUUUGCUCUAGCAUACAGUAUGGAGACUCACGUAAUGCUGAAAGCUUUAUUCAGGAUGGGAUUUUCCUAUGACUCUGGGAAUGACCCAUUAGAGGGUUCUUCCUCCUAUAGCACAGGACUGGGCAGCUGGGAGCUGUGACCUCACGCCCUGUACUUCACUCACAGUUCCUCUUGGGAGCAAGUACACUUAUGACUAUCAGUAAAGGCCUCAAGGCUGAGCCAUGUCCUCAGUUACUCCCCAUUAAUGUGGGGAACAUGGUUCAUCCAUGAACCGUACUUCCUGGCUGGCCCUAAACACCUCCCUCACCCUCUCUGCUUUCACUCGUGUCAGUGUGUACAUGAGGAUGUACUGACCAUGGGAAAUCUGUGGGUUUCAGGGCAGGCUGCUGCUGAUGGAGCACAUGAUCUGAGGGCUCUCCCUAUCCAACUCUGCCAGCGGCAUCUGCCCAAAUCAAUGUGCACUCAAUGCAUGUUGGGACUGACUAGCAAGGAGAAAAGUGGGGAGGCAGCGGUGUUUGUGCAUCUCCUGCUCCUGGCUCUGGUAGGCAGGGCCAGCCUCCAUCCAUCAGACUAUGAGGGUCUUCUUCCUGCUGCGUUCUUUGCUCUUUAAAGUAAUGGCAGUACUGGGGCCCAUAGUGGGCUUGCUGCUGAGACCCAUCACUUGUUCCUAAAAGGCCACUUACAUCACUGAAACCAGGUGGCUCAGUAGGGCUGCACGUCAUUAGAUCUGCUGCUUUCAUUCACCCACCUGGCUGAUACAGCACCCAAGGCACAAACACUGUGUAUGGGGUAUUUAAGGCCUCAUGAAUAUGGCAAUGGAGCACGUCACUGAAGACUAUCAGCAGCUUACCUGUGCUGUGUAUAUCUGACAGAAAAAAUGCUGCUUCUAUCUGGCUUUAAGUGGACUUGGUUGUAACCACUUGCUAGAUACAUAAGAAAGUGCUGAAGCAAUUAUGCAGCUAACUAAAUUGAAUGAGAAAAUAUUAAACCACUGGUUAUUUUUACAAUGUGAUGACUGUAAAACAGUUUAAAUUACUUGGAAUAUCUUUUAAUUGGAGAUAUCGACCAUCGAGCACUAUCUCAGCGGAGGGCUGUCGACUUGCUGUUUCUUUCUGUGUUGAGCUGUGAGAUCACGGCCAGGUAAAUCCGUGUGGGUUUCCAUCCUAUAUACACAUCUCUACCAGAAUCCUGAAGCCAAGAGGAAACCGCCAUCACCGAUUUGUUGCAUGGAGUUAAAUUGUGAUGAGAAACCGAGCGUUGGGCAGAGCAGUACCACAAUGGUAAAAUGGCAGAGACAACGAAGCAGGAUCACAACGUUCACCCCAGCAGUUAAAACAAUAUAAAAGGAGACCCCCUCCCGCCCCCCAGAAGUCUGCAGUCCUAAAGUGCAAUUACUUUUGUGCAGUCAUGUCACGCCAGGGAUCAGACUGGAUGAAGUUCAAAGCACAAACAUCAAACGAGUGCCGUUCGUGAUUCAAGGAGGGGGGGAAAUAAGGAAAAGAACAACAGUUCUCAGGCAUUCAAGUGCAUCAAGAAAAUAAACGUCCCUUUCUUUCUGAAGCAAAACAACCCUCAGUCUGUGGAAUCCUGGCUUUGUAGUCAUGAAAAAUAGUUUUUUCACUUCUAGCUGAGAAUGUCCCAAUAUGACACAGUACAAAUAAACAACACCAAAGCAAGAGCUGAGGCACUGGGAUGUUUUGCUGGUGCCCUGCUGCUAUACAGCCGUAUUUUAUUCUCCUCUGGCGACUCUUCAGAUCUGGGUACGGAUGAAGCGCACUGAAUCAAAGGCAUCUGGUAGGACGUGGCUCUCUUUUCCGGUCGGUCGGGGCUGGACCCAUCGCUGGGUCGCUGGCCGUUGUACAGCAAGUACCUGCCCCUGGCAUCCUGCUCCAUCUUGAAGAUUUCAUACUCGGUGUGAGGCAGGCGGAUGCCAAGCGCGAUGCAGCCGUUGGUGUGGGUGACGUCUUGCUGCACACCGACUUGCCAGGAGCCCUGCGCUCCGCACUCGUUCCCGUUGAAGACGUUGAGCAGAGAGGCCGUGGACACAUCCAUCGGUGUGACCUUCAUGUGGUUCACUUUGAAGACGAACUCUGUUCCGCCCAUCACUUUGGCCGAGUGCACUCCUCGGCUGUAGCGGCCCUUGGCAUAGAUGGUGAAGGUGGGAUGCUUGCAGAUGGGGUCGGAGUAGUGGUAGUAGUGGCCCUCCCAGGUGUUGUUGUUGUCAUGGAAAAUGAAGUGCCGCGUGAGGAAGAGGACCUCCGGCCGCACCUCACAGCGCUGGCUCACCCACUCGCCAUGCAGCCCGAUGGUCAGGUCUGCCUUGGGGGGCAGGAUGGGUGGGUGGUGCUCAUCGGAGCGGUAGAUGAUCCUGCAUGCAAUGCACGUGCGGUCAUGGUUCUUGGCAUUUUGAAGAGGAGGCUGGUAACUGGAGGGUCGGUAGUACCUCCUCUGGGUAGCAUCAGUAUGAAUGUCUCCAAGAAAUAGCUCCUCCACGAGGUGAUCUAAAUUGUGAUGCAGAUAUUGCUUCUCCACCCGGAUCAGCUGGAGUUCAUGCAUGGCAAAAUUCAGAGCCUUGGUGCAUUCACAGCCAUUCUCUUCUCUGAGCAAAUCAUAGCUCACAUCCUGCUCCCAGGGACUAUCUUCCGGUAUAAAUCCAGGACAUGUAUUGUUGACCAACUCACUUAAUUUUUUGGCUACUGCUUCAUUGUGGCUUAUGAUCUGUAUGUUGCGCAGCUGAUAAUCAGCUUCAGUACCCCCUCGGAUGAUCCAGGAUGCUUGGCGGAGACGAAUUUUGCCACGUAUAACUAAUGUGUAGAUAGGGUUAGUGCAGCGAUUGCCACCAUAGUAAAACUGAUAUGCUUUAAAUGUAUUAUUGUGAUAGAAUCUGUAGGACCUUGUGAUGAACUCUGGACCUGCUCUGACUUCACAGCCGGUAGAGACCCAGUGUCCCUCUAUAUUGGGAGGCAUUUGCACAGUGAUGCGGGCCCCAUUGUGGAGGUGUUUCAGCAUGUGAUGACACUGUGACUCCUUGAAAGCCCUCCAUGCACUCUUCUCUAAGGAGCGGGGGUGGGACCUGCUGUCCGGAUGAAGAAGAGCAGAACCUUCUCCCAGCCCGUGCAGCAGCAGGGCCGGGAACAGGUACCGCAUCAGGCUGCCGUACGGGACGAACAUCUCCGCGCUCCGUGCCGGGGCCGCGACCGCGCACAGCGGGCCGUGCCGCGCUCAGCGCCGCGCCGGGCAGCCCAUGGCCGGCGGGGGCGGCAGCGCGGCCGGGGCACACCGCCUCUCCUUCGGGAACCCGUCCCUCGCUCCUGAGCUCGGGCUCCGCUCGCCGCCUCCUCACCCGUAUCCACGAAGCCCGGCGGCGGCUCCGCUUCAUAUUUCUCCUUCCAGCGGGAGGAGGAGGGGUCGGGAGGUGGGGACUCCCGCGCUGCCGCCGCCGGGAGGGGUGGAGGGCGGGCUGGAGGGACGGCCCGUGGGGUGUCCGCCGCCGGGCGGGGGCGGGUAGGGGCGCGGGAGGGUGCGCUGUGGGGGAGGGCGGGCGGUGUUGGGGCGGGCCGAGUGCUGCCGUGUGGUUCUCGGCAGGUACGGUGCGGCUGUGUGUCGCUGUGGGCAGGGGGACAGAAGUCGAGGAGAGGAAACGUUUUGGCCGCGGUUCUCCACAUAAAUUAGACGUUUUAAAGAACAGGCGUCUGAGUUGCCGCCUUUGAUUUUGCACUCCGUACGUUUUCCCAUGGCCAUAGAAUCAGCACAUCGUGAGUUGGAAGGGACCCACAAGGACCAUCGAGUCCAACUCUAGGCGCCACACAGGCCAUCCAAAAUCCUAACCUAUGCCUGAGAGCACUGUCCAAACGCCCCUUGAACUCUGGCACUUGGGCCCGUGACCACUGGGCAGCCCGUUCCAUGCCCACCGCCCUCUGGUGCAGCACCUGUCCCCAACCCCCAGCUGCCCCUCCCCUGGCACAGCUCCAUGCCGUUCCCUCGGGCCCUGUCGCUGUCACACAGAGCAGAGCUCAGCGCUGCCCCUCCGCUCCCUGUGAGGAGCUGCGGCCGCCAUCAGGCCUCCCCUCAGCUCCUCUGCUCUGCGCUGAGCACACCCAGGGACCUCAGUCACCCCGAGUCUUUCAUCCUGGUCGUGCAAACACAUGUUCUUAAGAGCUGUACACCUUAACAACUUUUGUCUGAGUUUGAGCGCCGGGCUUUGUUUUAUACUGCCCACUGCUCACAAACAUCCUAUUUUCUGGUUUUUGUUUACGUCCGUGGGCUCAGCUGUAGUGUCCUAUGACAAAGAAUGUGUAACAAAUUGGAAAAUUUUGAGAAAAUCAAUGUAACUGAGUUUUGAAUGGUUUAAGCUAAAGUGUUUACACGCUGAGUGAUUAAAAAGAAAUACAAACAACAAUGACUCUUUCCAGCUCCCUUGAGAAGGAAGAAUAAAUUUAAUCUUCCUCGCUUAUACAGGGAGGAAGCUGAGACAGAAACAAGUAGUGGUGAGUCAGAAUGCGA
RNAcentral lists this long non-coding RNA (11447 nucleotides) under Gallus gallus (chicken). Lineage: Eukaryota; Metazoa; Chordata; Aves; Galliformes; Phasianidae. The record is from RNAcentral.